GUGAAGACUUUGAAGAUCCUCCGACAUUGAAGACUUGAAAGGACAUCAGAGUUUUGGUAACUCGAAGACCAAAGACCGUCGAAGUUCGAGACGUGUUGCAUGCUAGAUGUGCUGAAAUGGAGAAAGUCUACACUUUUAGAAGAACAAGACAAAGAUUAGAGAUCAAAGACAAAGCUACAGCCAAGGGGGAGUUUGUUGGUGCACUUGUGUCUGUACUUUGUCUGUAUUCGGUCUGA
This 236-nucleotide long non-coding RNA is filed under the name Helianthus annuus (common sunflower). Its description in RNAcentral is "hypothetical non coding rna". Lineage: Eukaryota; Viridiplantae; Streptophyta; Magnoliopsida; Asterales; Asteraceae. The record is from RNAcentral.